UGUAAAUCUUCAAACUUCAAAGCUUUUUAAGUCUUUGUCAAACCAAAUCACAGUUCUAUGAAUUGCUUUGAAUUUCAGAUCAUUUUAAUGUUGCUUCCUUACAUUCAAAAUUUAAUUACAAUUACAGUUCUGCAUCUUGAGUACUACCUUCAUUCAAGUUAAAUUCAAAUUCUGAAAUUGAAUUGGAAUUUCAAAGUUGUUCUAAAUUCAGUGAAUUGAAUGGUGCGCAUUGCUGGUAUGAAGAACCGCUCUCUGUUUUGGUGGACCCACUGAAAUUAAAGCAGUGAAAAAUAAGCAGCCAAAAAAAAAAAAAAAAAUCCAUAUUCUCUUGUAAAACGAACAUACCAAACUUGUAUUUGUAGAGUUCUUCAUCUGUCAAGCUGUUUUACACUGACAGGAAACGUGAGAGCAGGAAACCUCCAAGGCCCUGAUUACAUGAUCUCCUUGUUUGUAGUGAGAAGAAGAGUGUUUUUUCUCCUGGCUUGGAUGCGAUGGCCUCUCCGGAGGCUUUUGGGAGGUGUUAAACGUUCCUUCUGAUGUGCAUCAGCAGGGGAGAUGGCUUUGAUUUCAGAUAACCUCAUUGUUUUCAGAUCAGGCGCUUGCUGGAUCUGGACUUUAAGAUGCGAUCGAUAACAAUUCCAUUAAGAUUCUGUUCGCACCACGCAUGUUUCUCAGCCUCGACUUCAUUAAGACGAAGGCUUUUUCCUUUGAUAUAUUCUCAACAUUGGCACUGGCUGGUGGUCUGUUUGUUUGUUUCCUUUUGUUAUUCAAGAUUUGUGUGAUUCUUCACAACACCCUUUUGUUACUGUGCUGAUGUGAUCUGUGAUGUUUGUGCCACAUUCAUAUCAAAUCAAUCCUGACGGAACAUCUCUGAGAAUGAAAAGUCAAAUAUGCUCCAUGCAUCAGGUGAUCUCAGCAUCUUUCUAACAGAAGGCACAAUAUUCAUCUCUGGCUUUAGCAUCUGCCUUUAUUUAUUGAGUCUCACAUGAAAGUAAUAUGCAUAUCGAUAAAACAUGCAGAAAACAAAAGAUGAAUGCAAAUAUGCAAAGCAAAUCUGCACAAAAUAGGGAUGAGUUUGAGCUGUAAAGUGAAUCAGAUUUAUUAAAUAAUUGUUCAGCUAGAGUUCCAUUAGUUAUUAGUUUUAGUGAUUUUAAUUGUUGAGGAGAGUGUGCUGUUACUUUACUGUGACCAGAUGUACCAUUUUCACCUGCUAGAUGAUAAAACAGAUGAAAAACCCACAGAUGCACAUCGAAUGAGGGACCUGAGCUAUAUCUACAGAGUAGAAACUCUUUUGACCACCCUAGCAACAACAUAACACCCUGGCAACCAUCCACAAAAGUCACAGUUGUGGCACGACGCGAUUUGUGUACAACCAAGUUCCCAGGAGCCUCAUUAGAGACAGAAGCGUUUCGCACCAUCUGAGAGAGUAACUAACGGCACGUUCCUGCCACACGCCGUCUGAGAGCCGAGAUGUUGCCCACAGUAUCGCUUUCCUCAAAUCCCCGCGCAGACGCUUCCGUCAAACACUGUAAAUGUCAGAGACACCAGGGGAUGUUAAAGGUCUGCGUGUGGCGGAGAGUCUCUGAAACUGAAGGUCCAGCAGUGAAGGUCUAUGAUGGGCGUCUAAGACACGCACACAGGAUGAAAAAAA
Long non-coding RNA from Ctenopharyngodon idella (grass carp), 1651 nucleotides. RefSeq lists it as uncharacterized. The transcript is spliced from 3 exons. The record is from RefSeq and is a predicted model, not a curated record. Lineage: Eukaryota; Metazoa; Chordata; Actinopteri; Cypriniformes; Xenocyprididae.